RNAcentral lists this ribosomal RNA (497 nucleotides) under uncultured bacterium. RNAcentral describes it as "bacterial SSU rRNA". It matches the Rfam family "Bacterial small subunit ribosomal RNA", at positions 29 to 502 of the family's 1533-position model. The record is from RNAcentral.
AACAAACGCUGGCGGCGUGCCUAACACAUGCAAGUCGAACGCGAAAAUCGGCUUCGGCCGAUGAGUAAAGUGGCGCACGGGUGAGUAACGCGUGGAUAAUCUACCCUUCAGUUGGGAAUAACUUAUCGAAAGGUGAGCUAAUACCGAAUAAAACUGCCUGACCACGGUCGGGUAGUCAAAGAUAGCCUCUGCUUGCAAGCUUUCGCUGAAUGAUGAGUCCGCGUACCAUUAGCUAGUUGGUGGGGUAAUGGCCUACCAAGGCGACGAUGGUUAGCUGGUCUGAGAGGAUGAUCAGCCACACUGGAACUGAGACACGGUCCAGACUCCUACGGGAGGCAGCAGUGAGGAAUCUUGCGCAAUGGGGGAAACCCUGACGCAGCAACGCCGCGUGAGUGAGGAAGGUCUUCGGAUCGUAAAGCUCUGUCGGGUGGAAAGAAAUGUAUGGGGUUAAUAGCCUUCAUACUUGACGGUACCACCAAAGGAAGCACCGGCUAACU